This 1174-nucleotide long non-coding RNA is filed under the name Oryza sativa (Asian cultivated rice). RNAcentral's name for it is "long non-coding RNA (OSAT_LNC001868)". The record is from RNAcentral. Lineage: Eukaryota; Viridiplantae; Streptophyta; Magnoliopsida; Poales; Poaceae.
UGAUCGAUAUGAGAUCGAUCUACUUAAUUUGCUUCAACAAAUCUCGCUCGCUGCUCCGACUCCGAUCCUCUCACGUACUACACGGCGCAAUACACAGCCCUGCAAACAACAAUUAAAUUGAAUAGAAUUAAAUUAAACCCAUCUCAACCAAAUCAGCAACCAGCGAUACAUGCAUAUACAUAUAUGUCAGUUCCAGCUUAGGGCAUGUACAAUGGUGGUUAAUAACGAGCUCUUUUCGUUGUCAUGCAAAUAAAUUUGAUGACGUGGAAGAAAAAGAGGGAAGAAAAGAGAAAUAUCGCUGUUACGCAUGACAACGGAUUAGAGUCGACUCUUAUUAUUUAUUAACGGAAAAUUUAUUGCAAUGAGGAUAGAGAAAAGGAAAGAAGUAUAAUAAAAAAUUAUUUAGUGUAUUAAUGGUUUAGAAAUCUUAUUGUCUUUACUACUGUAGGAGGAUAGUCUCUAAUAAUAUUAAUUAAUAUAGAUAGCUCGUAUUAGACUCUACCUUUGUAGAUGCCCUUAGGGUGUAUUUAGUUCACAUCAAAAUUGGAAGUUUUGUUAAAAUUGAAACGAUGUGAUGGAAAAGUUAGAAGUUUGUGUGUAGAAAAGUUUUGAUGUGAUGGAAAAGUUGAAAGUUUGAAGAAAAACUUCAAAUCUAAACUUGGGCUUAAUUCAGUAUGUGCUAAACUGAAUCUCUCAACUCGAGUAGUAGUAGGACUAUAUUUGUACAGACUACAGAGCACAUGGGCUGAGUGAGAGAAGGCUACUUGCAAUAAACACAAAAAUUGAUAUAGGGCUUGUUUGAAUCAAUCUUGGCACUACUAAAAUGAUGCUACCUAAUUUGUUGAAUGACAUAUAUGUGAAACGUACACCAUGUGUUGCACGUACCUGAUCGAUCGAUCGAUCGAUCUGACGAAACGGAGAGAUCGGUCGAGGAGCCGCGCUGAAUCGCUCGCCGAUCGACUUAAUUGAGUACUAAUGAGAGCGAUUUAGGUAGGUGGAGGCGUGGAGCAAAGCAAGUGAAAUGGCUGUGUGCAGGAUGGAAAUGGGGGCGGUGUGUGUGCGGGGGUUAAGUAGCGGAAGACGAUCGACGAGCGAGGAGAACCUGAUUCUGAUCUGGCAGCGAAAACUACUCGUACCGAUCGCCGCCUGGCACGCAGACGCAGACGCAGGUGGC